This 468-nucleotide ribosomal RNA is filed under the name uncultured bacterium. RNAcentral describes it as "partial 16S ribosomal RNA". It matches the Rfam family "Bacterial small subunit ribosomal RNA", at positions 28 to 507 of the family's 1533-position model. The record is from RNAcentral.
GACGAACGCUGGCGGCGUGCUUAACACAUGCAAGUCGAACGGUAAAAGAAUACCUGCCUCUUCUGCAAGAGUGGCAAACGGGUGAGUAACACGUGAGAAACCUGCCCCAGACCCUGGAAUAACCGCUGGAAACGGCGUCUAAUACCGGAUACGCGACAGAGCUGGAGGGCUACGGUCAGGAAAGUUUUUCGGUCUGGGAUGGACUCGCGGCCUAUCAGCUUGUUGGUGAGUGAACGGCUAACCAAGCCACCGACGGGUAGCCGGCCUGGGGGGGCGACCGGCCAAACUGGGACUGAGAAACGGCCCAGACUCCUACGGGAGGCAGCAGUGGGGAUUAUUGCACAAUGGGCGAAAGCCUAAUGCAGCGACGCCGCGUGAGGGAUGACGGCCUUCGGGUUGUAACCCUCUUUCAGCAGGGAAGAAGCGAAAGUGACGGUACCUGCAGAAGAAGCACCGGCUAACUACGUG